GAUGAACGCUGGCGGCGUGCCUAAUACAUGCAAGUAGAACGCUGAAGGAGGAGCUUGCUCUUCUGGAUGAGUUGCGAACGGGUGAGUAACGCGUAGGUAACCUGCCUGGUAGCGGGGGAUAACUAUUGGAAACGAUAGCUAAUACCGCAUGACAACAGUUAUUGCAUGAUAACUGUUUAAAAGGGGCAACUGCUCCACUACCAGAUGGACCUGCGUUGUAUUAGCUAGUUGGUGAGGUAACGGCUCACCAAGGCGACGAUACAUAGCCGACCUGAGAGGGUGAUCGGCCACACUGGGACUGAGACACGGCCCAGACGCCUACGGGAGGCAGCAGUAGGGAAUCUUCGGCAAUGGACGGAAGUCUGACCGAGCAACGCCGCGUGAGUGAAGAAGGUUGUCGGAUCGUAAAGCUCUGUUGUAAGAGAAGAACGAGUGUGAGAGUGGAAAGUUCACACUGUGACGGUAUCUUACCAGAAAGGGACGGCUAACUACGUG
RNAcentral lists this ribosomal RNA (495 nucleotides) under uncultured bacterium. RNAcentral describes it as "partial 16S ribosomal RNA". It matches the Rfam family "Bacterial small subunit ribosomal RNA", at positions 28 to 507 of the family's 1533-position model. The record is from RNAcentral.